AAGCACUGGGCGAAAUUCCCCGGGCCAGCAGGCAGAGAGUGCCAGCCCGCGAGGGCCGCGCCCCACCGCCGGCGUGCGAGGCGCCUCGUGCGCCGAGGCCGAGAUGCGAGCUUACUCGCGGAGCCUUCCAAAGCCGUCGGCAGGGGCAGCUCGCCAUAGCACAGUUAUGUGGACGACAGUCGGGAAGCAACACGACCAACACAACGGGGAUUACUCUCAC
Molecule: RNase MRP RNA, 220 nt
Filed under: Prasinoderma coloniale
Lineage: Eukaryota; Viridiplantae; Prasinodermophyta; Prasinodermophyceae; Prasinodermales; Prasinodermaceae
Description: partial RNase MRP
Rfam family: RNase MRP
About the family: RNase MRP is an enzymatically active ribonucleoprotein with two distinct roles in eukaryotes.
Source: RNAcentral